AGUGGCGAACGGGUGAGUAACACGUGAGCAACCUGCCCCUGACUCUGGGAUAAGCGCUGGAAACGGCGUCUAAUACUGGAUAUGUGACGUGACCGCAUGGUCUGCGUCUGGAAAGAAUUUCGGUUGGGGAUGGGCUCGCGGCCUAUCAGCUUGUUGGUGAGGUAAUGGCUCACCAAGGCGUCGACGGGUAGCCGGCCUGAGAGGGUGACCGGCCACACUGGGACUGAGACACGGCCCAGACUCCUACGGGAGGCAGCAGUGGGGAAUAUUGCACAAUGGGCGCAAGCCUGAUGCAGCAACGCCGCGUGAGGGAUGACGGCCUUCGGGUUGUAAACCUCUUUUAGCAGGGAAGAAGCGAAAGUGACGGUACCUGCAGAAAAAGCGCCGGCUAACUACGUGCCAGCAGCCGCGGUAAUACGUAGGGCGCAAGCGUUAUCCGGAAUUAUUGGGCGUAAAGAGCUCGUAGGCGGUUUGUCGCGUCUGCUGUGAAAUCCGGAGGCUCAACCUCCGGCCUGCAGUGGGUACGGGCAGACUAGAGUGCGGUAGGGGAGAUUGGAAUUCCUGGUGUAGCGGUGGAAUGCGCAGAUAUCAGGAGGAACACCGAUGGCGAAGGCAGAUCUCUGGGCCGUAACUGACGCUGAGGAGCGAAAGGGUGGGGAGCAAACAGGCUUAGAUACCCUGGUAGUCCACCCCGUAAACGUUGGGAACUAGUUGUGGGGUCCAUUCCACGGAUUCCGUGACGCAGCUAACGCAUUAAGUUCCCCGCCUGGGGGAGUACGGNCGCAAGGCUAAAACUCAAAGGAAUUGACGGGGACCCGCACAAGCGGCGGAGCAUGCGGAUUAAUUCGAUGCAACGCGAAGAACCUUACCAAGGCUUGACAUAU
Molecule: ribosomal RNA, 884 nt
Filed under: Microbacterium sp. CNRE01
Lineage: Bacteria; Bacillati; Actinomycetota; Actinomycetes; Micrococcales; Microbacteriaceae
Also listed under: 1 other name
Description: bacterial SSU rRNA
Rfam family: Bacterial small subunit ribosomal RNA
Source: RNAcentral